This 497-nucleotide ribosomal RNA is filed under the name uncultured bacterium. RNAcentral describes it as "partial 16S ribosomal RNA". It matches the Rfam family "Bacterial small subunit ribosomal RNA", at positions 28 to 507 of the family's 1533-position model. The record is from RNAcentral.
GAUGAACGCUGGCGGCGUGCCUAAUACGUGCAAGUCGAGCGAACGGACGAGAAGCUUGCUUCUCUGAUGUUAGCGGCGGACGGGUGAGUAACACGUGGAUAACCUACCUAUAAGACUGGGAUAACUUCGGGAAACCGUAGCUAAUACCGGAUAAUAUUUUGAACCGCAUGGUUCAAAAGUGAAAGACGGUCUUGCUGUCACUUAUAGAUGGAUCCGCGCUGCAUUAGCUAGUUGGUAAGGUAACGGCUUACCAAGGCAACGAUGCAUAGCCGACCUGAGAGGGUGAUCGGCCACACUGGAACUGAGACACGGUCCAGACUCCUACGGGAGGCAGCAGUAGGGAAUCUUCCGCAAUGGGCGAAAGCCUGACGGAGCAACGCCGCGUGAGUGAUGAAGGUCUUCGGAUCGUAAAACUCUGUUAUUAGGGAAGAACAUAUGUGUAAGUAACUGUGCACAUCUUGACGGUACCUAAUCAGAAAGCCACGGCUAACUACGUG